CUUGCUUUCGAUGGGCGUCGACCGGCGCACGGGUGAGUAACGCGUAUCCAACCUGCCCAUCACUUGGGGAUAACCUUGCGAAAGUAAGACUAAUACCCAAUGACGUCUCUAGAAGACAUCUGAAAGAGAUUAAAGAUUUAUCGGUGAUGGAUGGGGAUGCGUCUGAUUAGCUUGUUGGCGGGGUAACGGCCCACCAAGGCGACGAUCAGUAGGGGUUCUGAGAGGAAGGUCCCCCACAUUGGAACUGAGACACGGUCCAAACUCCUACGGGAGGCAGCAGUGAGGAAUAUUGGUCAAUGGACGAGAGUCUGAACCAGCCAAGUAGCGUGCAGGAUGACGGCCCUAUGGGUUGUAAACUGCUUUUAUAAGGGAAUAAAGUGAGCCUCGUGAGGCUUUUUGCAUGUACCUUAUGAAUAAGGACCGGCUAAUUCCGUGCCAGCAGCCGCGGUAAUACGGAAGGUCCGGGCGUUAUCCGGAUUUAUUGGGUUUAAAGGGAGCGUAGGCCGGAGAUUAAGCGUGUUGUGAAAUGUAGAUGCUCAACAUCUGCACUGCAGCGCGAACUGGUUUCCUUGAGUACGCACAAAGUGGGCGGAAUUCGUGGUGUAGCGGUGAAAUGCUUAGAUAUCACGAAGAACUCCGAUUGCGAAGGCAGCUCACUGGAGCGCAACUGACGCUGAAGCUCGAAAGUGCGGGUAUCGAACAGGAUUAGAUACCCUGGUAGUCCGCACGGUAAACGAUGGAUGCCCGCUGUUGGUCUGAAUAGGUCAGCGGCCAAGCGAAAGCAUUAAGCAUCCCACCUGGGGAGUACGCCGGCAA
RNAcentral lists this ribosomal RNA (816 nucleotides) under uncultured bacterium. RNAcentral's name for it is "bacterial SSU rRNA". It matches the Rfam family "Bacterial small subunit ribosomal RNA", at positions 74 to 891 of the family's 1533-position model. The record is from RNAcentral.